CUCUGGAAAUUUCUUCUCUCUGAUUCUCUCUCUAAAAUGGAUCGCAAAAGCUUGCUUAAUGUAGCGUUAAUGUGCGUCAUUGUUGCCAGUGUCGGUGGUCAAGCUCCGACGUCAGCUCCGACGGCGACACCGGUUACCCCUGCAGCCCCUACGGCUACUCCUGUGACUCCUGCAGCCCCUGUAACAGCACCCGCUAAGGCUCCUGUAAAACCUACAUCACCUGCUCCAGUUUCAUCUCCCGUAUCUUCACCACCCGCCAAGGCUCCUGUAAAACCUAAAUCACCUGCUCCAGUUUCAUCUCCCGUAUCUUCAC
RNAcentral lists this unclassified non-coding RNA (313 nucleotides) under Hevea brasiliensis (rubber tree). Lineage: Eukaryota; Viridiplantae; Streptophyta; Magnoliopsida; Malpighiales; Euphorbiaceae. The record is from RNAcentral.